RNAcentral lists this unclassified non-coding RNA (22 nucleotides) under Chlamydomonas reinhardtii. Its description in RNAcentral is "small RNA Cre_0508". Lineage: Eukaryota; Viridiplantae; Chlorophyta; Chlorophyceae; Chlamydomonadales; Chlamydomonadaceae. The record is from RNAcentral.
AGCUGUUCCCCUUCCCAGGCGU